Molecule: long non-coding RNA, 310 nt
Filed under: Elaeis guineensis (African oil palm)
Lineage: Eukaryota; Viridiplantae; Streptophyta; Magnoliopsida; Arecales; Arecaceae
Description: long non-coding RNA (EGUI_LNC045162)
Source: RNAcentral
CGGCCAGCUCACAAGGUUCUGCACCUCUCACAUUCCAUGAUAAACUCUAACACUUUAGAUAUUCUCAUUUAUAUUAUUUUAUCUUUUGUUAACUAAUAUAAUAUUCUUUAUAUUAGAUAUUUUAUGCUCAGGUUCGAACAAUAGAGGGUCACCAGUGACCCCACAGUCACACGUACUAGUGACCGACUCUCAAACAUAGAGGCAUGGUAGAGGAUCCAUCUGAUUCGUGGCACCUAUGACUCGAUCGGAGGAUGGAGAGCUCAUCCAUAUUUAGAGCUGGUCAUAAGUACUAUAUCUUUACUGAAUAUGU